AUCCCUGUGAGAAUGCCCUACUUAUUUCCCCCACGAAAUAAAGGAGCAGGUAUUAGGCACAACUUCAGUUAGCCCACAACGCCUUGCUUAGCCACACCCCUAAGGGAACUCAGCAGUAAUAAACAUUAAGCAAUGAGUGUAAACUUGACUUAGUUAAAACCAAGAGGGCCGGUAAAACUCGUGCCAGCCACCGCGGUUAUACGAGAGGCCCAAGUUGACAAAUGCCGGCGUAAAAUGUGGUUUAUACAGUAUUGCACUAAAGCUAAACUUCUUCAAAGCUGUCAUACGCACUCGAAGAAAAGAGGACCUUCCACGAAAGUGGCUUUAAAUAAUAUUAACCCACGAAAGCUAGGAAACAAACUGGGAUUAGAUACCCCACUAUGCCUAGCCCUAAACACAAGUGACUACUUACACCCCUCGCUUGCCAGGGAACUACGAGCCCCAGCUUAAAACCCAAAGGACUUGGCGGUGCUUUAGACCCACCUAGAGGAGCCUGUUCUAGAACCGAUAACCCCCGUUAAACCUCACCCUCCCUUGUCACUCCC
Molecule: ribosomal RNA, 545 nt
Filed under: Tridentiger obscurus (dusky tripletooth goby)
Lineage: Eukaryota; Metazoa; Chordata; Actinopteri; Gobiiformes; Gobiidae
Description: partial 12S ribosomal RNA
Rfam family: Bacterial small subunit ribosomal RNA
Source: RNAcentral